CAGGUCCUGAAUGAAGACUAAUGGCUUGCUGAAGCCAUUGGUUUCAAACAGGUGCCCAGAGGAAAUUUUUACCAUAGUCUGUUGGCUGUUUUGAAUGUUAGAACAGAAUAGCCAACUCACUGGGGAGUAACAUCC
Molecule: small nucleolar RNA, 135 nt
Organism: Rhineura floridana
Lineage: Eukaryota; Metazoa; Chordata; Lepidosauria; Squamata; Rhineuridae
Source: RefSeq, a predicted model, not a curated record